This 1521-nucleotide long non-coding RNA is filed under the name Ornithorhynchus anatinus (platypus). RNAcentral describes it as "lncRNA (ENSOANG00000041908.1)". Lineage: Eukaryota; Metazoa; Chordata; Mammalia; Monotremata; Ornithorhynchidae. The record is from RNAcentral.
CCUGGACUUCCUCAUUAAAUUUUGAGAGGAAUCAGGACGAGAUGUUUUUGCUUUAAUUUUUUUUAAAAAGCAAAUGAAAUAAGGAAUCGAAAUCACUGAAGGGUAUUUUUUUUUAAGUUUUAAAUACAGACUUUCAUGUACAGCCUUACAGAACGAGUAAUGCCUAAGAAACUUCUCCCCCCCAUUCAACAGGCCUGGAAUUUACUGUUGAUAAAAUGUUCAGAAUUAAAUCAUAAUAACUUCAGUGUCAGUAAAGGUGAAUCACAAAGUUAGGAAGGUUCUCUCCUCAAUGGGUUAUCUGUUUGUUUAGGUUCAUUCAUUCAGUAGUAUUUAUUGAGCGCUUACUAUGUGCAGAGCACUGUACUAAGCGCUUGGGAUGAACAAGUCGGCAACAGAUAGAGACAGUCCCUGCCGUUUGACGGGCUUACAGUCUAAUCAGGGGAGACGGACAGACGAGAACAAUGGCACUAAACAGCGUCAAGAGGAAGAACAUCUCGUAAAAAUGUUGAGGCCAAUCGGGUUGAGGCCAAUCGGGCAGAACCUCGAGAGAGCAAAAGCCAUGGCCCAGGAUAUGCAGACUCCAGCCAGUGGGGAAGCAGGAUAAUGCCCAAUGCUGCCAAUGGAUGGACAGGUCAACUCCUCCCCAGCUGGCAACAGGGUUAUGUCCCUCAAGGUAGCUAAGGACCACCUUCUCUCUGAAGAGGAGCCCCACCUCCUCCAGGUUUUGCUCCAGAUGGAUUUCCUUCCUACACAAGGAUUCCCUCAGGGAAACAACAACCCUCCUCAUUUUAGUUUUGGCUGUGAACUUCUACCACCUCCACCAGAUCAGUUUGGCCCUCCUGGAGUGCCUCCUCCACCUGUAACUCCUGGCGUAACAGCACUUGCUUUUCCGUCACCCCCCAACUUUCCCCUCCCACCAUCAUCAUCUCAGUCAACUCAAGACUUGAGCAAAGCCCCAACAGUCCAGCCAGAUUUCCCCUACAGCCAGUUUGGUAAGCAGUUGUCCACUCUGUCUGGGAUAUUGUUAAUUUCUUUCCAAAAAGGAGUUUGGGACUAUGUGUUAUGCAUGCUCACAUGCUUGUAUCCUAAUACAGUUUGGGAGUUUGGGAAUGUCAGAUGCUCAGCAGGAGCAGGGCCAAAGUCUUUUGGUAGUCUCUUGUUCUGUGUAGCACUCAUACCUCAAAAUUGUAAGUUGGUGCUGUUCCCUAGUUCAACCUAUCCACACAGUAGGGCAGUAUAACUUAGCUAGAAGCAGUGUGGCUCCGUGGAAAGAGCACGGGCUUUAGAGUCAGAAUUCAUGGGUUCGAAUCCCGGCUCGGCCACUUGUCAGCUGUGUGACUUUGGGCAAGUCACUUAACUUCUCUGUGCCUCAGUUACCUCAUCUGUAAAAUGGGGAUUAAGACUGUGAGCCCCACGUGGGACAACCUGAUUCCCCUGUGUCUACCCCAGCGCUUAGAACAGUGCUUGGCACAUAGUAAGCGCUUAACAAAUACCAACAUUAUUAUUAUUAUUAUUAGCUAG